RNAcentral lists this long non-coding RNA (1214 nucleotides) under Chrysemys picta bellii (western painted turtle). RNAcentral describes it as "lncRNA (ENSCPBG00000019683.1)". Lineage: Eukaryota; Metazoa; Chordata; Testudines; Emydidae. The record is from RNAcentral.
GGGGCCACAGGGUGGCCUUGCUGCCAAGACGGCAGGGACCUUUCGGGGUGGGCUGGGGAAACCCCCUGUGCUGUGAGGUGACCCUUCCCUGCUCAGCCCAGCUGCCUCCCCUCAGGGACGCUUGGGUGCUGUGGUUCAACAGACAGCGAACCCCGGAGAUCAGAGGAAUUUUGAAAGGGGGACCCCAGAGUCUAAGGGAUGGAGUGGGGAGGGGGCAUUCAGAGAGCAGGUCCCCUGGAGAGACUGAACAGGGGCUUUUCCACCAAGUCACCCCAAAUCACCUGGCUGGUUUGUUUUGGGGCCCCGCAGGUCUGCCUUUCGGGGGGCUCCGGGGUGAGGUGCCAGGAUGGCGAUGGGCGAGCAGCUGCUGCGCAUCCUGGAUGAUCUGACCAAGGAGGAGUUUGAGAAGUUCAAGUUUCACCUGCUCCGUGUGGGCACGGCUCCCCACAUACGCCGCGGGAAGCUGGACGGCGCCUCCCGCAUCCAGGUGGCUGAGCUGUUGUGGCAGCAAUACACCCGGAAAGCGCUAGAUGUCACCAGCCAGGUGCUGCGCAAGAUCCCAAGGCUGGACCUGGUCCAGGGCGGCCAGCUCCAGACAGGAGGAGAAACUGGGAACAGCGGCGACGAUGCAAAUCACAGUGAGGCUGCAAAUAGCGGCGCCAGGGCAGAAAGGAAGAUUCUGGUUUCAGAGCAGUAGCUGAUGAAGCUGGCAGGGAAAAUGGGCAAGACCUGGAGGCAGAUCGGCAUUGAGUUCCUGGGCCUGGAGAAUCACUGUCUGGAGCAGAUCGAGGAGAACAAUCCCGGCAACAUCAAAAUGCUCUUGGAGUGGAGGAAACGAGCGAGGCAGGACGCCACCAUCAAACGCCUUUGCUCCAUCCUCUCCCAGGACGAGGUGCCCCUCCAGCGCGAGGCCCUCGCCUGCCUCUGGGGCACACACAGUGCCUAAGGAGAUCUGGGGGGCUUAGUUCAGGGCAGCAGGUCUCUGAUCAGGGCCAGUGUUAGACACUCUGUGGCUCUGAGCCCCGCCUCCGGGGCUGAAGCUGAAGCCUGAGCAAUGUCCGUUGGCGUGGGACCCCAGGCGUUGCCCUGCUUGCUAGCCCCUAACACCGGCCCUGGCUUUUAUAUGCAGAAAAACAAUUGUUGUGGCACUGGUGGGCCAUGGAGUUUCUAUAGCAGUUGAGACCCCCUGGGCCAGGGGAUGGCGUGGCCUUGUG